UAAGGAAUAUUGGUCAAUGGACGCAAGUCUGAACCAGCCAUGCCGCGUGGAGGAUGAAGGUCCUCUGGAUUGUAAACUUCUUUUAUUUGGGAAGAAACCCACCUUUUCUUGGGUGGUUGACGGUACCAGAUGAAUAAGCACCGGCUAACUCCGUGCCAGCAGCCGCGGUAAUACGGAGGGUGCAAGCGUUAUCCGGAUUCACUGGGUUUAAAGGGUGCGUAGGUGGGCAGGUAAGUCAGUGGUGAAAUCUCCGGGCUUAACCCGGAAACUGCCAUUGAUACUAUCUGUCUUGAAUACCCUGGAGGUGAGCGGAAUAUGUCAUGUAGCGGUGAAAUGCUUAGAUAUGACAUAGAACACCCAUUGCGAAGGCAGCUUACUACACGAUCAUUGACACUGAGGCACGAAAGCGUGGGGAGCAAA
RNAcentral lists this ribosomal RNA (420 nucleotides) under uncultured bacterium. Its description in RNAcentral is "bacterial SSU rRNA". It matches the Rfam family "Bacterial small subunit ribosomal RNA", at positions 355 to 772 of the family's 1533-position model. The record is from RNAcentral.